GUCAGUUGCUUAAACCGUCACCUGCCCUUAUUCGAAACGGUCAGUUGCUAAUCUAACAACCCUUGCUAUUCUAAACCUUGCCCUAACCUAACCGGUCUUAUUCUAAGACCAUAACCUAACCCUUAUUCUAAGACAGUCAGUUGCUUAUCAACAGAUUCUAAACUGUACCCUAAUCAGCAGACCCUCAGUUGCUUAUCAAAACCUUCAGCUGCUUAUCAACAGACCCGUCAGUUGCUGGUAUCAACGGAAGGCCUGUUGCUUAUCAACAGCCGGUCAGUUGCUAGUAUCUACAGACGGUCUGUUGCUAGUAUCUACAGACGGUCAGUUGCUUAUCUACAGACGGUCUGUUGCUGGUAUCUACAGACGGUCUGUUGCUAGUAUCUACCGACGGUCAGUUGCUUAUCAACAGACGGUCCGUCGCUUAUCAACUGACGGUCAGUUGCUUAUCAACAGACGGUCAGUUGCUUAUCAACAGACGGUCAGUUGCUUAUCGACAGACGGUCAGUUGCUUAUCGACAGACGGCCUGUUGCUGGUAUCUACAGACGGCCUGUUGCUGGUAUCUACAGACGGUCAGUUGCUUAUUGACAGACGGUCUGUUGCUUAUUGACAGACGGUCUGUUGCUUAUCGACAGACGGUCAGUUGCUUAUCGACAGACGGUCUGUUGCUAGUAUCUACAAUGUGACCAAAGUCCUGAAUGAGCUUUUUACCCUUUUCACUUUUUAAGAAGUUGCUUUCACAAUCAUGUAAACAGUCAAAUACGUUGUAUCCAUCUAUGCAAAACCCGGUGCAGAUAUUUUUGAUAAGUGUUGAUAAGAAAAUACGUUUCUACUGAUUUUGUAAUGACGUUUUGUUUUCUAGUUUUUAUAGAGAUGAAGAAUUCAUCAGUGUUUUUUAAAACCACGUAUAAACUCUCAGGCGGGUAGGCCUGAAUUAACUAUGUAGGUAGUCAUAACCAUUCCAUUACUGAUUUGGAUUUCAUUGUGUUUCUUCAUGCAGGCAGUGACUAAUAGCCUGUUGUAUUUCCAAGACUGUAACAUGUUCUUAAUGUAAUAUGUAUUGAAUUUAAUACAGACAGAACAUAUUCAGAUGAGAGUAUUUCACAGCAGCAAGACGAGUCGUGCUUCACCAAUUCUCUGUUACUGCACAGUUGAAUUAAUUUAAUAGCACAUACACCAACUCUGACACUUUCGAUUGAGCCAGUCUGAAAAGUGUUUUAAUCAACUGCUACCUAAAAUGGUUGCUUGGCAACACAAUUUCUACCAUCUGUUUUGCAUGAUUUUUUUCCCUUUUCCCAGCUGUAUCUGAAAACAAACUGGAUACAUUUUGAUUGCAGAGGAGUAAACAACCAUUUAGCUGGUUAAACAUUUUUUAAAAGCUGUUUAAUAAAACAC
Long non-coding RNA from Oncorhynchus tshawytscha (Chinook salmon), 1393 nucleotides. NCBI's taxonomy places the organism in Eukaryota, Metazoa, Chordata, Actinopteri, Salmoniformes, Salmonidae. The record is from Ensembl.